UGUGCUAUAGCUCAGUGGUAGAGCUUGUGCUUAGCAUGCAUAAGGUCCUAUGUUCAAUUCCCAGCAACAUAC
This 72-nucleotide transfer RNA is filed under the name Fukomys damarensis (Damara mole-rat). It matches the Rfam family "tRNA". Rfam says of the family: Transfer RNA (tRNA) molecules are approximately 80 nucleotides in length. The record is from Rfam by way of RNAcentral. Lineage: Eukaryota; Metazoa; Chordata; Mammalia; Rodentia; Bathyergidae.